GACGAACGCUGGCGGCGUGCUUAACACAUGCAAGUCGAACGGAAAGGCCCUGCUUUUGUGGGGUGCUCGAGUGGCGAACGGGUGAGUAACACGUGAGUAACCUGCCCUUGACUUUGGGAUAACUUCAGGAAACUGGGGCUAAUACCGGAUAGGAGCUCCUGCUGCAUGGUGGGGGUUGGAAAGUUUCGGCGGUUGGGGCUGGACUCGCGGCUUAUCAGCUUGUUGGUGGGGUAGUGGCUGACCAAGGCUUUGAAGGGUAGCCGGCCUUAGAGGGUGACCGGCCACAUUGGGACUGCGAUACGGCCCAGACUCCUACGGGACGCAGCAGUGGGGAAUAUUGCACAAUGGGCGGAAGCCUGAUGCAGCAACGCCGCGUGCGUGAUGACGGCCUUCGGGUUGUAAACCGCUUUCUCCUGUGACGAAGCGGGAGUGACGGUAAUGGGUAAAGAAGCACCGGCUAACUACGUG
RNAcentral lists this ribosomal RNA (468 nucleotides) under uncultured bacterium. RNAcentral describes it as "partial 16S ribosomal RNA". It matches the Rfam family "Bacterial small subunit ribosomal RNA", at positions 28 to 507 of the family's 1533-position model. The record is from RNAcentral.